AGAGUUUGAUCCUGGCUCAAGAUGAACGCUGGCGGCGUGCUUAACACAUGCAAGUCGAACGAAGCACUUUAUUUGAUUUCCUUCGGGACUGAUUAUUUUGUGACUGAGUGGCGGACGGGUGAGUAACGCGUGGGUAACCUGCCUUGUACAGGGGGAUAACAGUUGGAAACGGCUGCUAAUACCGCAUAAGCGCACAGCAUCGCAUGAUGCAGUGUGAAAAACUCCGGUGGUAUAAGAUGGACCCGCGUUGGAUUAGCUAGUUGGUGAGGUAACGGCCCACCAAGGCGACGAUCCAUAGCCGACCUGAGAGGGUGACCGGCCACAUUGGGACUGAGACACGGCCCAAACUCCUACGGGAGGCAGCAGUGGGGAAUAUUGCACAAUGGGCGAAAGCCUGAUGCAGCGACGCCGCGUGAGCGAAGAAGUAUUUCGGUAUGUAAAGCUCUAUCAGCAGGGAAGAUAAUGACGGUACCUGACUAAGAAGCACCGGCUAAAUACGUGCCAGCAGCCGCGGUAAUACGUAUGGUGCAAGCGUUAUCCGGAUUUACUGGGUGUAAAGGGAGCGCAGGCGGUGCGGCAAGUCUGAUGUGAAAGCCCGGGGCUCAACCCCGGUACUGCAUUGGAAACUGUCGUACUAGAGUGUCGGAGGGGUAAGCGGAAUUCCUAGUGUAGCGGUGAAAUGCGUAGAUAUUAGGAGGAACACCAGUGGCGAAGGCGGCUUACUGGACGAUAACUGACGCUGAGGCUCGAAAGCGUGGGGAGCAAACAGGAUUAGAUACCCUGGUAGUCCACGCCGUAAACGAUGAAUAAUAGGGGUUGGGAAGCAUAGCUUCUCGGUGCCGUCGCAAACGCAGUAAGUAUUCCACCUGGGGAGGAGGUUCGCAAGAAAAAAACUCAAAGGAAAUUGACGGGGACCCGCACAAGCGGUGGAGCAUGUGGUUUUAAUUCGAAGCAACGCGAAGAACCUUCCCAAGUCUUGACAUCCUUCUGACCGGUCCUUAACCGUACCUUCUCUUCGGAGCAGGAGUGACAGGUGGUGCAUGGUUGUCGUCAGCUCGUGUCGUGAGAUGAUGGGUUAAGUCCCGCAACGAGCGCAACCCUUAUCUUUAGUAGCCAGCGGUCUGGCCGGGCACUCUAGAGAGACUGCCAGGGAUAACCUGGAGGAAGGCGGGGAGGACGUCAAAUCAUCAUGCCCCUUAUGACUUGGGCUACACACGUGCUACUAUGGCGUAAACAAAGGGAAGCAAAGCUGUGAAGCCGAGCGAAUCUCAAAAAUAACGUCUCAGUUCGGACUGUAGUCUGCAACCCGACUACACGAAGCUGGAAUCGCUAGUAAUCGCAGAUCAGAAUGCUGCGGUGAAUACGUUCCCGGGUCUUGUACACACCGCCCGUCA
Molecule: ribosomal RNA, 1394 nt
Filed under: uncultured bacterium
Lineage: Bacteria
Description: bacterial SSU rRNA
Rfam family: Bacterial small subunit ribosomal RNA
Source: RNAcentral